AUGGUCUUUCUGGAAUGAUGGGGGCGGGGGGAUGUUUGCAGAGUGGUGUGGGCUGGAAUCCUUACUGGAUGUCUUUUUCCUUUUGCCCUCAAGAGUCUUUGGGAGGCUCAGGAAGGGACUGGUGAGUGACCUCAGCAGCCCACCAGCAGGUAGCCAAGGGUCGCCCUCUCUUCAGCCCCUGAUGCCUCUUCCAGAAAAAACAAACCACAAAGCCAGCUGAAGAAAGUGGGGGGAAGGUCUCCAGAAGAAGGUGUGUGCAACCAUACCUUUAAUCCCAGAUGACCUUGAACUCAGAGAUCUCCUUAUCUUAAUCUUCUGGAAUUCAUAGCCACUAUACCUCAAGAUCUCCAUGCCAAGAUCCAGGUCAGAAACUUGUAUCUCCCAGCCUCCAGAUUAGGAUCACAGCAUGGGGCCUGCUGGGACUCGUCUCCUGCUAUGCUUCAGCUCCUGCCCAAUCACUUACCUGUGCCAGGAGAAGCCUCUGGACAUGCCUGGGCAGCCUCUGGACAUGCACUGCUCCCAUUCCUCGCUGAGAGGGCAUCUCCCCGAGUGCCUCUCCAUCCCAGUAGACUCUCCAGAUGUGCCCAGUCCUCAACUGGUGUGGCCUCACCAGAGAGACUCAGACCAAACAGGCCUCCACAGCCUCUCUCUAGACACUUUCUGGGAAACCACAGUGGAAUACAAAAGGUCCUCAUUUGCCCUGAACCCUGGGAAGCCCUGUGGCAUUGGUUCAUGAGUGCUGUGGUUGGUUAUUUGGAACUUAAUUCUCUUGGUAUUUGCCACUUCCCAGUUGUCCCCUUUACUGUUCACAGUCCCCACCUAUAAUCCUCGGCUUCCUGGCACUUCCGGAGCCCAUAUUAACGUACCAAUUUUUUGUACCCCAUUUAGGGCACCAACUGUUCUGAUCUCUUGAAGAGCUCCUCAGGCAACCUUCUGUUUCUAGCAAGAUGAUACACCCAAGCCUUGAUGACAAGGCUUGGCUCUCAACCUCCUUGCUCCCCACCUCCUGUGAAAUACACAAAGAAAUUCAGUGAUCAUCGGGGAUGCUCUGGUCCAAACACUACCUGCCAGCCAGACGCAGGAGAUGGAUGGCUCAGCAGUAAUCGUGCUGCUUGAGCUUGGUGUCUAAUGGGGACAGUAGUGACAGGAAGUUCACAGGGACUGGAAGACAUGAGUUCUCUGAGGGAAAGGAAGGUGAAGCCUGGUGCUUAGGACCCUCAGGAGACCAUAGGAUGUGAGAAGGCUCAAGACACCCAGAGGUGGGGUCAGAAACAGGGCAAAGGAGACCAAGCAUGGGAGAGCUGCAGUGGACGUGUACAGACAGGAGAAGCAGGCCCUAAAGAAUCCCUGAGGCGGCAGAGAGGCUGGGCUGUGGAACUUUUUAAUUACUUUGCAUUAGGGGACUGUAGAGACCCAGAAGCCCACCCUUCCCCUCCCCUCAUCAGCUUAGCCCCAACAUAUGGUGGCUACCAAAGUAGUUAAAUCGGCUCUUGGUAGAAAAGGAAAGAGAUUCCUCCCAGGCUCUUCCCAGGGUCCACGGCCACACUCCAGGAGGGCUCAACUCCAGGGCAAGGCAGCUGGGACAGCAGGCAGCUGAAGGAGGACUAUUACUGCACCUUAGGGAAGAGUGCAGUGGCGAGUGGGGAGGACUCUGCUGGGACCCGGGGGUCAUGUGCAUUCCCAUUUAGUUGAGCUCUGCUUAAUCCGGGCCUAGGCUCACAGUAAUGGGGAACGAGGAGAGGCUCCCAUCAGAGACCAAGAAGAUGACAGACUCUCUGUAAAGGCUGUCAGAGGGGUCUGCAUGACCAACCACACCUGCUCCUGUUCCUUUGGGGCUCUUGUGACCUCCCUGUCUUCUUGUGAGAUCUUAUGUUCCUCCAACCCUGAGAGCUACAAACCAAUCUCCGGAAUAAAAAAAUCUGUCCCU
Molecule: long non-coding RNA, 1927 nt
Filed under: Mus musculus (house mouse)
Lineage: Eukaryota; Metazoa; Chordata; Mammalia; Rodentia; Muridae
Description: predicted gene 10505
Source: RNAcentral